GAAAUAAUUUUAUUGAAUUUCUAAUUCAAUUAAUAAUAAAUUUUAUUAUUAUUUUU
RNAcentral lists this transfer RNA (56 nucleotides) under Pristaulacus sp. ZJUH_2016030. RNAcentral describes it as "tRNA-Ser". The record is from RNAcentral. Lineage: Eukaryota; Metazoa; Arthropoda; Insecta; Hymenoptera; Aulacidae.